AGCCCUACGGGGUGCAGCAGUUAGGAAUUUUCUGCAAUGUACGAAAGUAUGACAGAUUGAGUCAGAGUGCUUUUCAUAUGAAAAGCUUUUGCCAAAUGUAAAAAGUUUGGCGAAUAAGGACUGGGUAAGACGAGUGCCAGCCGCCGCGGUAAUACUCGCGGUCCAAGUCGCAGCCAUCAUUAUUGGGUCUAAAACAUCCGUAGCUUGCUUAAUAAGUUUCUUGUGAAAUUCCAUGUCUCAAAUAUGGAGCGGGCAAGAAGUACUGUUAAGCUAGAGACUGGAAGACGUAAGAAGUACGUUUGGAGUAGCGGUAAAAUGUGUUAAUCCCAGACGGACUAACAACAGCGAAGGCAUCUUACGAGGACAGUUCUGACAGUAAGGGAUGAAGGCUAGGGGCGCAAACGGGAUUAGAUACCCCUGUAGUCCUAGCAGUAAACACUGCACACUAAACAUUAGUACCUCCUCGAGAGGUGUUAGUGCUGAAGAGAAGUCGAAGAGUGUGCUACCUGGGAAGUAUAGUCGCAAGGCUGAAACUUAAAGGAAUUGGCGGGGAGACACUACAACGGGUGACGCGUGCGGUUCAAUUAGAUUCUACACCGUGAACCUCAC
RNAcentral lists this ribosomal RNA (609 nucleotides) under uncultured archaeon. RNAcentral describes it as "bacterial SSU rRNA". It matches the Rfam family "Archaeal small subunit ribosomal RNA", at positions 319 to 930 of the family's 1478-position model. The record is from RNAcentral.